CUGAACUGCUGACACGAGUUGUUGCUGGUCUCCAAAUGGGGGCAUGUGCACGCUCUGUUUGUGCAUCCACUCACACCUGUGCACCUUUUGUAGUUCUGUGGCCUGGGGGACUCAUCCUCCUGCUGUGGUUCUGCAUCUUUACACUCACGCUGUGAUAAAGUCUAAUGGAAUGCAUGCCGCGUUUAACGCAAUACAAUA
This 198-nucleotide unclassified non-coding RNA is filed under the name uncultured Tomentella. RNAcentral describes it as "sequence contains ITS1". Lineage: Eukaryota; Fungi; Basidiomycota; Agaricomycetes; Thelephorales; Thelephoraceae. The record is from RNAcentral.